GGCCACAUAGGGGUACAUGCCACAAA
RNAcentral lists this non-coding RNA (26 nucleotides) under Homo sapiens (human). The record is from RNAcentral. Lineage: Eukaryota; Metazoa; Chordata; Mammalia; Primates; Hominidae.